Molecule: ribosomal RNA, 470 nt
Filed under: Actinomyces naeslundii
Lineage: Bacteria; Bacillati; Actinomycetota; Actinomycetes; Actinomycetales; Actinomycetaceae
Description: bacterial SSU rRNA
Rfam family: Bacterial small subunit ribosomal RNA
Source: RNAcentral
GACGAACGCUGGCGGCGUGCUUAACACAUGCAAGUCGAACGGUGAAGGGACUGGUUUUGCUGGUUCUGGAUGAGUGGCGAACGGGUGAGUAACACGUGAGUAACCUGCCCCCUUCUUCUGGAUAACCGCAUGAAAGUGUGGCUAAUACGGGAUAUUCUGGGUCUGUCGCAUGGUGGGUCUGGGAAAGAUUGCGCCUUUUUUGGUGUUUUUGGUGGGGGAUGGGCUCGCGGCCUAUCAGCUUGUUGGUGGGGUGAUGGCCUACCAAGGCGGUGACGGGUAGCCGGCCUGAGAGGGUGGACGGUCACACUGGGACUGAGACACGGCCCAGACUCCUACGGGAGGCAGCAGUGGGGAAUAUUGCACAAUGGGCGCAAGCCUGAUGCAGCGACGCCGCGUGAGGGAUGGAGGCCUUCGGGUUGUGAACCUCUUUCGCCAGUGAAGCAGGCCUGCCUCGUUUGUGGGUGGGUGCG